This 1533-nucleotide long non-coding RNA is filed under the name Physcomitrium patens. Its description in RNAcentral is "long non-coding RNA (PPAT_LNC009481)". The record is from RNAcentral. Lineage: Eukaryota; Viridiplantae; Streptophyta; Bryopsida; Funariales; Funariaceae.
AAUGAAACAUCAAUAUCUUCUUAUAUUACUUAAAAAAAUAGAUAUUUAGUCAAAAUUAGUAUAAUAUUUAAUUUUGAAAUAGCUAUUAAUAAAGAUAAAAAGUUUAAAGACUAUUAAAACUAUACUAAGGACAAAAAAGAUAUUAAUAAGAGUGAAAGAGGCUUCAUUCUUGAUUCUAUAUAUAUUAUUUAAUUAAGGACUAUGUUGCAAUAAUCUAUAGGAUCUUUGACACUUGUCUAACUUGCAAAAUACAUGUCAAAUUCAUAAGACAAUUUUUCUAUGCGAGCUAUAUGAUAAACUUCUACUAGAAGUGGCCAAGUUUUUAACCUACCAAUCAUCUAUAAACACAUAUAAAGUCAAACCGCAUUUAUGAAGCUUCAAAGAAGCUAUUUCAUAAGCUAUUAUCAAAUCUAUUUACUUCUAUUUACUUCUAUUUAAUUCCUUUAAUCUAGAUAAAUAUACAUGUACGUAACAAUCAUAUUUCAAGUAGAUUUCAAUACCUUUGCUCCUGUAGUCUUCAAGUUCUUUAAGGCUAAAAACAAAACUAUUGCAAAACAAGCAAAUAAAACUUUUUUAUGCUUCAAAACUAGUAAGUUUUAGUUAUAAAUCUAAGGACCAAUUGUCAAACUCUGUAUUCUCUUUUUUCAUUAAUAGAGCACCACUAUAUGCCAAUACAACUUUUAACUACUAAUUUGUAGAAAGAACAACUUUUCUACCCCUUAUAUUAUAAUCUUAAAUAAUUGGAAGUUGAAAUGAAAAUCAAACCAAUUUUCUUAUUUUUUAUCUUUCAUUUUAAAAUUAUAUUUAUUUAUUUUAUUAUUAUUUGAUUUUAAUCAAAGUUCAUCUAUUGACGAAAUUUCAUCCUUAAAUAACCACAAAAGUUGUGCUUAACCACCAGAUUCAAAAAGUGCCAACGGGAUCACGCAUCCAUCAACAAGCAAUCACUCUGACUUGGUACAUAUCAAGACAACUAGAAGCCACAGAACCACUGCUAUCGAGGUUCACAUUUCUCGAGGUAAUAGCUGUAGAAUUUUAAUACCAGCACGUACGGAGACUAGAAGGCAACUGAACCAAUGGCGACUUCUUCCCCAUGGUGGUUAAGCGGUAGUUCCAAAAGAUAUCUGCACACCGUUACAAAGACACCAACGCCCGAACGUCGCUGCACCAGCUCACAAUAUCGCUCAAAAACUCUGCGCUAUCUUUGCUGCUAAAUAAAAAAAAAAGAAAAAAAAGAACCACGAUGGUCUUCUCUGCUAUCGAACCAACUCGUAGCACACAAUACCAAGAUUCCCUCUUGCCCAUCGCGGUAGAACGAUAAGAUAAGACGCUGCAGUAUAUCAAUAAUCCUGAACAGAAGAAUUGACGCCAGAGAGGGUCGACACUACUUGGAACCAACAACUUCAACCGCCAUCUGCCAAAACCUUGCUAGAAUCGUUGGACACACUAAAUGAAUGAACAAGGAGGGAGUGCCGUACAAGGGAAUGAAAUAAAGAACCAGCACGCCCACCUCACGGUGCCUCCAGAUCUGAUGCC